UUCUCCCGAAAGCUAUGCUGGAGGUAUCAGAAGUGCGAAUGCUGGUAACGAUAAAGCGUCAAGGGGUUCCUGUCCAACGUUAAUCGGGGCAGGGUGAGUCGACCAAGGCGAGGCCGAAAGGCGUAGUCGAUGGGAAACAGGUUAAUAUUCCUGUACUUGGUGUUACUGCGAAGGGGGACGGAGAAGGCUAUGUUGGCCGGGCGACGGUUGUCCCGGUUUAAGCGUGUAGGCUGGUUUUCGGGCAAAUCCGGAAAAUCAAGGCUGAGGCGUGAUGACGAGGCACUACGGUGCUGAAGCAACAAAUGCCCUGCUUCCAGGAAAAGCCUCUAAGCAUCAGGUAACAUCAAAUCGUACCCCAAACCGACACAGGUGGUCAGGUAGAGAAUACCAAGGCGCUUGAGAGAACUCGGGUGAAGGAACUAGGCAAAAUGGUGCCGUAACUUCGGGAGAAGGCACGCUGAUAUGUAGGUGAAGUCCCUCGCGGAUGGAGCUGAAAUCAGUCGAAGAUACCAGCUGGCUGCAACUGUUUAUUAAAAACACAGCACUGUGCAAACACGAAAGUGGACGUAUACGGUGUGACGCCUGCCCGGUGCCGGAAGGUUAAUUGAUGGGGUUAGCCGCAAGGCGAAGCUCUUGAUCGAAGCCCCGGUAAACGGCGGCCGUAACUAUAACGGUCCUAAGGUAGCGAAAUUCCUUGUCGGGUAAGUUCCGACCUGCACGAAUGGCGUAAUGAUGGCGGGCUGUCUCCACCCGAGACUCAGUGAAAUUGAACUCGCUGUGAAGAUGCAGUGUACCCGCGGCAAGACGGAAAGACCCGUGAACCUUUACUAUAGCUUGACACUGAACAUUGAGCCUUGAUGUGUAGGAUAGGUGGGAGGCUUAGAAGUGUGGACGCCAGUCUGCAUGGAGCCGACCUUGAAAUACCACCCUUUAAUGUUUGAUGUUCUAACGUUGACCCGUAAUCCGGGUUGCGGACAGUGUCUGGUGGGUAGUUUGACUGGGGCGGUCUCCUCCUAAAGAGUAACGGAGGAGCACGAAGGUUGGCUAAUCCUGGUCGGACAUCAGGAGGUUAGUGCAAUGGCAUAAGCCAGCUUGACUGCGAGCGUGACGGCGCGAGCAGGUGCGAAAGCAGGUCAUAGUGAUCCGGUGGUUCUGAAUGGAAGGGCCAUCGCUCAACGGAUAAAGGUACUCCGGGGAUAACAGGCUGAUACCGCCCAAGAGUUCAUAUCGACGGCGGUGUUUGGCACCUCGAUGUCGGCUCAUCACAUCCUGGGGCUGAAGUAGGUCCCAAGGGUAUGGCUGUUCGCCAUUUAAAGUGGUACGCGAGCUGGGUUUAGAACGUCGUGAGACAGUUCGGUCCCUAUCUGCCGUGGGCGCUGGAGAACUGAGGGGGGCUGCUCCUAGUACGAGAGGACCGGAGUGGACGCAUCACUGGUGUUCGGGUUGUCAUGCCAAUGGCACUGCCCGGUAGCUAAAUGCGGAAGAGAUAAGUGCUGAAAGCAUCUAAGCACGAAACUUGCCCCGAGAUGAGUUCUCCCUGACUCCUUGAGAGUCCUGAAGGAACGUUGAAGACGACGACGUUGAUAGGCCGGGUGUGUAAGCGCAGCGAUGCGUUGAGCUAACCGGUACUAAUGAACCGUGAGGCUUAACCU
RNAcentral lists this ribosomal RNA (1652 nucleotides) under Escherichia coli. RNAcentral's name for it is "partial 23S ribosomal RNA". It matches the Rfam family "Bacterial large subunit ribosomal RNA", at positions 1256 to 2925 of the family's 2925-position model. Lineage: Bacteria; Pseudomonadati; Pseudomonadota; Gammaproteobacteria; Enterobacterales; Enterobacteriaceae. The record is from RNAcentral.